AUACUUACUCAGGCAGCACAUACAAUAAAUUGGAAAUGAUACAGAGAUUAGCAUGGCCCCUGUGAAAGGAUGACAUGCAAACUCGUGAAGUGUUUUUACAUUUU
RNAcentral lists this small nuclear RNA (104 nucleotides) under Monopterus albus (swamp eel). The record is from RNAcentral. Lineage: Eukaryota; Metazoa; Chordata; Actinopteri; Synbranchiformes; Synbranchidae.